RNAcentral lists this ribosomal RNA (459 nucleotides) under uncultured bacterium. RNAcentral's name for it is "partial 16S ribosomal RNA". It matches the Rfam family "Bacterial small subunit ribosomal RNA", at positions 337 to 795 of the family's 1533-position model. The record is from RNAcentral.
CCUACCGGGGGGCAGCAGUGAGGAAUAUUGGUCAAUGGGCGAGAGCCUGAACCAGCCAAGUCGCGUGAGGGAGGACUGCCCGAUGGGGUGUAAACCUCUUUUGUCGGGGAGCAAAAGCCGGACGUGUCCGGCUGUGAGAGUACCCGAAGAAAAAGCAGCGGCCAACUCCGGGCCAGCAGCCGCGGUAAUACGGAGGAUGCGAGCGUUAUCCGGAUUUAUUGGGUUUAAAUGGUGCGCAGGCGGAUUUUUAAGUCAGCGGUCAAAUCGUGGGGCUCAACCCCAUCCAGCCGUUGAAACUGGGGAUCUAGAGUGUGCGAGAGGUAUGCGGAAUGCGUGGUGUAGCGGUGAAAUGCAUAGAUAUCACGCAGAACCCCGAUUGCGAAGGCAGCAUACCGGUGCACAACUGACGCUCAGGCACGAAAGCGUGGGUAUCGAACAGGAUUAGAUACCCUAGUAGUC